This 468-nucleotide unclassified non-coding RNA is filed under the name Homo sapiens (human). RNAcentral describes it as "MUC20 overlapping transcript (ENSG00000281060.2)". The record is from RNAcentral. Lineage: Eukaryota; Metazoa; Chordata; Mammalia; Primates; Hominidae.
CACCGCUGCAAGAGGGGAAGUUGCUACUGUGAUGAAUUCUGCCAUGUGGCACCAGACUGCCACCCAGACCACAGUGUCCUCUGCAACCCUGGUCAAAGGUGCCUACAUGCUCCUUCUAGCUUUGUUUCCCUGAUGUUCCUUGCCACCUGCUACUCCUCUCUGAGCUACUUUUCCAGCUUCUCAGAUGACCAAGAUGGUGCUGCAGAUGGUGCUGAGGAUGGAGAACCCACCAAGCCCCGCUAGGAGCCACCUAGACUGGAUGCAGAGCAUGGCCCCAGCACCCGCAGAGCAGACACUGCGAUGACAACGGACGACACAGAAGUGCCCGCUAUGACUCUAGCACCGGGCCACGCCGCUCUGGAAACUCAAACACUGAGCGCUGAGACCUCUUCUAGGGCCUCAACCCCAGCCGGCCCCGUUCCAGAAGCAGAGACCAGGGGAUCCAAGAGAAUUUCCCCUGCAAGAGAG